AGUGUUGCGCCGGGGAUGAACGGAUAACUCUGAUGACGUUAAAUACGGGGACACUCCCCCAACACUU
Molecule: transfer RNA, 67 nt
Filed under: Branchipolynoe pettiboneae
Lineage: Eukaryota; Metazoa; Annelida; Polychaeta; Phyllodocida; Polynoidae
Description: tRNA-Ile
Source: RNAcentral